Anopheles aquasalis is the source of this 1035-nucleotide long non-coding RNA. RefSeq lists it as uncharacterized. NCBI's taxonomy places the organism in Eukaryota, Metazoa, Arthropoda, Insecta, Diptera, Culicidae. The record is from RefSeq and is a predicted model, not a curated record.
GUCCGCGAAGGGAGUUAGUUUGAUUGACAAACGAUUACUGACCAGAUAAAGUGGUGAAACGAACAAUCAAACCCAAAAUACACAGUUUCUUGGUUGGUAAUCACCACUAAGCACCCACUUACUGAUCACCACUAAUCACCUACCAGGAGUCGAUAAGGAGAGCGUCCCGGUGGUUACUAGCACUGCAACGAAUGCGUUACCACCACCCGAAAUCUUAGAGCAAAUAAUCGAAUCCCGUCCGAGCCGACGUGCGUGAAGUCACUGAAAGCAAAUCACCAUGCGCUAGCAGGACCCGGUUGACCGAACCUCUGGAUACUGGCAAAACUUUUACCGUUACCCAAAAUGUUCGCGCUGAUAAAGAUCGCUAAUCGUGCUAUUCGCAUAAUGACGAGAACUGGCAGGGUUCAUGCUCUCUUUUGUAAGCGAUGAUGGAUGAUGCUGUACAAUCCCGUUAGGAUUUGGGAUCCGAUGCCCUAAUGGCUAAUGGAGCACCUGGAGUCGUUUUCGAAUGUCCGACAAACGUUCGGUCGAAAUUCGUUUUCGCUGUUCAUUCUCAAGAGCAUCACCAUCACUACCGGCUGCUGCGAUGUUGGCGAUAUUGGCGAUGUAUGCCUCUCACUGAGGUGUUGUUAGGCCAAAAUUGAGCUAGUAACCAGCUGGACAUUAGGAUUGAAGAAGGCACACUUCAAAGGGUACAUCUGGCAUUAUAAGUCUAUUAAAAUAUAGGAAAAGUGUUUAUAGAAACUCCAGUUUAGACAAAUUCCCUUAGAGUUAGACGAGCAUUUAUCUCCAACAUAAAGCUUGUUUGUAUCCAUCCCUUACGUCCGUACGUUAACCAGAUUUCAGUGCGCAAUCCAACAUCAGCAGCGUGUUUAGUGGAACGAACAAGUUGGUGAACAAAUAGAACGGAGUGGCCGUGAAGACGAACGGGAUGGUACGAAAGGGAUCGUGGCGUAGUAUCUAUGAUAACCUUCAUAAGUACAACACUGUUCCUUCUCGGUCUGAUCGCAGUGCUUCCAUAGACCCUCUGGUAGG